This 243-nucleotide long non-coding RNA is filed under the name Nicotiana benthamiana. RNAcentral's name for it is "long non-coding RNA (NBEN_LNC028258)". The record is from RNAcentral. Lineage: Eukaryota; Viridiplantae; Streptophyta; Magnoliopsida; Solanales; Solanaceae.
CAACAAUAAAUUAAGCACUUGCACUAGAAAGAUUGAAAGAGAGCUUGAGAGAGAUUGAGAGAUAUUGAUGAAUUGAUGAAUAAAAAUGAAAGAAUUAGAGGGUAUUUAUAGUUGAGAAAUGGGAAAUAGUAUAAUUAUAUAAAGUUUGGGGUUAAAUUAAAGUUUGGGGGCCAAAUUAUUUUUUAAACUUCCAAACGGCUAGUUUUGAAAAAGAGCCGUCUGGAAAUUAUUAUUAUUAUUUUU